UUGCCGUUCGUUACUAAAUAACGUAUAUGUUACAUAAUUUGUAUGUCUUCUUUCUAGUAUGAAGAAGGGGACAGCGUAAUGGCACUGUGGCCUCCAGACUCGUCAUGGUAUCCAGCUGUAAUCACCUCCAUAACCAAAGGGAAGUCACUAAUCAAGUACUGUGUGCGUUACAAUGAUUAUGGCAUCACACGCUCCUUAUUUGAGCACCAGCUGGCCCAUCAAACAUCAGGUUUUCAGUCUGAUACUUCAAGGUCUGUCAACCCCAACACCAAUUGCAGGGAUGACGAUG
Long non-coding RNA from Asterias rubens (European starfish), 289 nucleotides. RefSeq lists it as uncharacterized. Lineage: Eukaryota; Metazoa; Echinodermata; Asteroidea; Forcipulatida; Asteriidae. The record is from RefSeq and is a predicted model, not a curated record. The transcript is spliced from 3 exons.